GCGGGCGUGGCGGAACUGGCAGACGCGCUAGACUUAGGAUCUAGUGGGCAACCGUGGGGGUUCAAGUCCCUUCGCCCGCACCA
RNAcentral lists this transfer RNA (83 nucleotides) under Bacillota bacterium. Its description in RNAcentral is "tRNA-Leu". It matches the Rfam family "tRNA". From Rfam's summary of the family: Transfer RNA (tRNA) molecules are approximately 80 nucleotides in length. Their secondary structure includes four short double-helical elements and three loops (D, anti-codon, and T loops). Lineage: Bacteria; Bacillati; Bacillota. RNAcentral also lists the same sequence under 1 other name. The record is from RNAcentral.